RNAcentral lists this ribosomal RNA (703 nucleotides) under Pseudoalteromonas sp. RNAcentral's name for it is "bacterial SSU rRNA". It matches the Rfam family "Bacterial small subunit ribosomal RNA", at positions 50 to 749 of the family's 1533-position model. The record is from RNAcentral. Lineage: Bacteria; Pseudomonadati; Pseudomonadota; Gammaproteobacteria; Alteromonadales; Pseudoalteromonadaceae.
CUUACAUGCAGUCGAGCGGUAACAGAAAGUAGCUUGCUACUUUGCUGACGAGCGGCGGACGGGUGAGUAAUGCUUGGGAACAUGCCUUGAGGUGGGGGACAACAGUUGGAAACGACUGCUAAUACCGCAUAAUGUCUACGGACCAAAGGGGGCUUCGGCUCUCGCCUUUAGAUUGGCCCAAGUGGGAUUAGCUAGUUGGUGAGGUAAUGGCUCACCAAGGCGACGAUCCCUAGCUGGUUUGAGAGGAUGAUCAGCCACACUGGGACUGAGACACGGCCCAGACUCCUACGGGAGGCAGCAGUGGGGAAUAUUGCACAAUGGGCGCAAGCCUGAUGCAGCCAUGCCGCGUGUGUGAAGAAGGCCUUCGGGUUGUAAAGCACUUUCAGUCAGGAGGAAAGGUUAACGGUUAAUACCCGUUAGCUGUGACGUUACUGACAGAAGAAGCACCGGCUAACUCCGUGCCAGCAGCCGCGGUAAUACGGAGGGUGCGAGCGUUAAUCGGAAUUACUGGGCGUAAAGCGUACGCAGGCGGUUUGUUAAGCGAGAUGUGAAAGCCCCGGGCUCAACCUGGGAACUGCAUUUCGAACUGGCAAACUANAGUGUGAUAGAGGGUGGUANAAUUUCACGUGUAGCGGUGAAAUGCGUANAGAUCUGAAAGAAUACCGAUGGCCAAGGCAUCCACCUGGGUCAACACUGACNCUCA